GACGAAAUAUCAUGGGUGGGCCGGGAACAGAUGCAAUCGAACGAAGGAAGCCGUCGGGGUGGUAUUAGUGGGUAACGGUUGAAUAGCGACUUGGGCGAAUCUGCUCUUCACUCUGGGACAAGCCCUGGAAACGGGGUCUAAUACCGGAUAAAACCGGCUUCCGCUUGGGGAGCUUGGUUGAAAGCUCCGUGCGGUGAUGGAUGAGCCCGCGCCCUAUCAGCUUGUUGGUGAGGUUAAUGGCCUACCAAGGCAACAAGGGGUAGCCGGGCGUGAUAGGGCGAACAGGCCCCACUGGGACUGAGACACGGGCCAAAUUCCUACGGUGAAGGUGCAGUGGGUAAUAUUGCACAAUGGGCGAAAGCUUAUCGAGCGACCCCGUUGAGGGAUUAAGGCCUUCCGGUUUUUACCUUCUUUCACCAUUGGAAAAAGCGAAAUUAACGUGUUCUUGCAAGAAAAAAGCGCCGGUUAGAAUUACUUCCCAACAGCCCGCGGGU
Molecule: ribosomal RNA, 494 nt
Filed under: Streptomyces sp. BC585
Lineage: Bacteria; Bacillati; Actinomycetota; Actinomycetes; Kitasatosporales; Streptomycetaceae
Description: bacterial SSU rRNA
Rfam family: Bacterial small subunit ribosomal RNA
Source: RNAcentral